UACGAAGGGGGCUAGCGUUGUUCGGAUUUACUGGGCGUAAAGGGCGCGCAGGCGGCAGACCAAGUCAGGCGUGAAAGCCCCGGGCUUAACCUGGGAGGUGCGUCUGGGACUGGUAUGCUAGAGUUCGGGAGAGGAGAGUGGAAUUCCCAGUGUAGAGGUGAAAUUCGUAGAUAUUGGGAAGAACACCGGUGGCGAAGGCGGCUCUCUGGACCGAGACUGACGCUGAGGCGCGAAAGCGUGGGGAGCAAACAGG
RNAcentral lists this ribosomal RNA (253 nucleotides) under uncultured bacterium. RNAcentral describes it as "partial 16S ribosomal RNA". It matches the Rfam family "Bacterial small subunit ribosomal RNA", at positions 524 to 776 of the family's 1533-position model. The record is from RNAcentral.